UACGUAGGGGCAAGCGUUGUCCGGAUUUAUUGGGCGUAAAGAGCGUGUAGGCGGCCAGAUAGGUCUGUUGUGAAAACUCGAGGCUCAACCUCGAGACGCCGAUGGAAACCAUUUGGCUAGAGUCCGGAAGAGGAGAGUGGAAUUCCUGGUGUAGCGGUGAAAUGCGCAGAUAUCAGGAAGAACACCAAUGGCGAAAGCAGCUCUCUGGGACGGUACUGACGCUGAGACGCGAAAGCGUGGGAGCGAACAGG
This 251-nucleotide ribosomal RNA is filed under the name uncultured bacterium. Its description in RNAcentral is "partial 16S ribosomal RNA". It matches the Rfam family "Bacterial small subunit ribosomal RNA", at positions 524 to 776 of the family's 1533-position model. The record is from RNAcentral.